This 72-nucleotide transfer RNA is filed under the name Pangasius djambal. RNAcentral describes it as "tRNA-Glu". It matches the Rfam family "tRNA". Rfam says of the family: Transfer RNA (tRNA) molecules are approximately 80 nucleotides in length. Their secondary structure includes four short double-helical elements and three loops (D, anti-codon, and T loops). Further hydrogen bonds mediate the characteristic L-shaped molecular structure. tRNAs have two regions of fundamental functional importance: the anti-codon, which is responsible for specific mRNA codon recognition, and the 3' end, to which the tRNAs corresponding amino acid is attached (by aminoacyl-tRNA synthetases). tRNAs cope with the degeneracy of the genetic code in two manners: having more than one tRNA (with a specific anti-codon) for a particular amino acid; and 'wobble' base-pairing, i.e. permitting non-standard base-pairing at the 3rd anti-codon position. The record is from RNAcentral. Lineage: Eukaryota; Metazoa; Chordata; Actinopteri; Siluriformes; Pangasiidae.
UCCCUGGAGGGCUAGUGGUUAGGCCGUGGCGCUCUCACCACUGUGGCCCGGGUUCAAUUCCCGGCCAGGGAA